Molecule: small RNA, 4919 nt
Filed under: Pan troglodytes (chimpanzee)
Lineage: Eukaryota; Metazoa; Chordata; Mammalia; Primates; Hominidae
Description: processed transcript
Source: RNAcentral
UUCAAAAUAAAGAAUUUGAAAAUAUAAUAAGGAAAGAGUUUCAAAUUAUUUUCUGGUGUAUGCAGUAGUUUCAAAGAGGUUUUUUUAAAAAUAAAAUUGUGAUGAGUUUCUUUAAAAUGGUAUAGCAACACGAAUCAUAUGUAGAUGAUCUUAACCAAUGAGAGCAUGUGUAUGUAUGUGUAAAAUGAAUUAAAUCAAAUAAAUGGUUGUAAAUCAAGUAAGUUGUAAAUAAAUGAAGUACAUGGUUGCUUUUUUAUGUUCUCCAUAUGUAUUUUCAAGCUCUCAAAGAUCCAGUUGUUCUUAUUUCUCAGGGUGUGUUACUGAACUUCAAGGAAUCAUUCCCAUCUUUAGUCCAGUGUUGCUGCUCUAGUCUCAUUGGAAGUGACCUGUCCAUUGACUCUCAUCCCCAAGUUCCUAAUUUGCCAGCAGAAUGGUACUGGCCCUCUGUCUAGUGAUCCCAGGGAUAAAAUGCUGUUGUCUAGUAUCAUUGACUUAAAAAAAAAAAAAAAAAUCCCUGUUUUAUUUGUUGUGGUCAGCUCAAGUUCAGGUCUGUUAGAUAACUUAAAAUCUGCUUUGCACAGAUGUAUUUUUAAGGAACAAACAUCUACAGUAACAGUUACAGAUUUCCUUAAGUGGGAUAUUUGAGUUCAUAGAUGGUAGACUUUUAUAGCCUGGGCUUCUAAGGAGGGCAGCAGACUAGUGCAGUCAGGACAGGACAUGGGCUGUUUGGGGUAUAAUAAUAGUGAGUAUAGUGAGAUUCCACAUGAUGGAAUCUCAACAAAGAGUAGGAAGGCAUUUAGGCCUUCAGUUGUCCUUGAAUUGAGUAUGUUCUCUCUUUUGUUUAACGUAGAUAAAAAUCUAACACAAGAUACUAAAACAUACAAGGUAGAAUUUAUACUUUUUUUAUUCACAGAAAAUCAUGUAACUUCCUUUGCGGGUAACUCAUUCUCUCACAGCAUACAUGAACACCGUAGUUAUUCCCUAGUUUCCAGUUUAUAAAGAUGUUUUGAGAGGAACAUGUUCAAAAUAUUUAACUAGUAUUUUGCACAUGGGACAAGAAGAUCUUAAAUACAUGUUUCAAGAGUUUUCCCCCCACUAGUUAGUAUUUGGAAACAUGGGAAUGUUUGUAUUAAAUAUUACUUUAGAUAAGUAGUUUUCGCACCAGACAAUUGCUGUACCAUAAAUAUCUUAAAACUUAACAUUGUUUUUUUAAAUUUCUAAAAUUGAAUUAUAGAAUUCAAGAAACUGUGUGACAAAUGAAAAUGCCUUUUUACAAAAUAAAUAUCUGAAUAUGUGAUAUAUUAUUGAUCAUUAGUUUGUAACACUUCUGAGAAUAUUCUUUGAACUUACAUUAUUAGAAACAGCUUAGAAGCAACUGGGCGCCGUGGCUCACACCUGUAAUCCCAGUGCUUUGGGAGGCUGAGGCAGAUGGAUCACUAGAGGUUAGGAGAUCGAGACCAGCCUGGCCAACAUGGUGAAACCCCAUCUCUACUAGGAGUAUAAAAAUGAGCUGGCGUGGUGGCGAGCGCCUGUAAUCCCAGCUACUCGGGAUGCUAAGGUAGGAGCAUUGCUUUUCGUGGUGAAAGAGGCAAUGAUGAAUCUGCCAUCGAAAUGAUUAAAGUAUCUCAUUUGAAGCAGUAUUUGGCAGUCGUAUUCAGAGAUAAACCCCUGGAGCUAUGGGAUGUUAGGACUUGUACCCUUCUUAGAGAGAUGUCCAAAAACUUCCCUACAAUAACUGCUUUGGAGUGGUCACCAUCUCACAACUUGAAGAGCCUGAGAAAGAAGCAACUUGCUACUCGAGAGGCCAUGGCCCGCCAGACCGUAGUCUCAGACACAGAGCUGAGUAUUGUUGAAUCAUCUGUGAUCAGCUUGCUGCAGGAGGCAGAAAGUAAAUCUGAACUUAGUCAGAACAUCUCUGCCCGGGAACAUUUUGUAUUUACCGAUAUUGAUGGCCAAGUUUAUCAUCUCACUGUUGAAGGAAACUCAGUAAAAGACAGUGCUCGGAUUCCACCAGAUGGAAGUAUGGGUAGUAUUACCUGCAUCGCUUGGAAAGGUGAUACAUUAGUGCUUGGAGAUAUGGAUGGAAAUUUAAAUUUCUGGGACUUGAAAGGCAGAGUAUCCAGGUAUAAGCCAAGAAUGAAAUCUUGUUAUUUCAUUAAAAAAAAGAAAUGAAAUCUUUUUGUUUUGUUUUGUUUUGUUUUGUUUUGUUUUGUUUUGUUGAGAUGGUGUCUUGCUCUGUCGCCCAGGCUGGAGUGCAGUGGUGCAGUCUCGGCUCACUGCAAGCUCUGACUCCCGGGUUCACGCCAUUCUCCUGCCUCAGCCACCCGAGUAGCUGGGACUACAGGCACCCACCACCACGCCCGGCUAAUUUUUUUGUAUUUUUUUAGUAGAGACGGGGUUUCACCAUGUUGGCCAGGAUGGUCUCGAUCUCCUGACCUCGUGAUCCGCCCGCCUCGGCCUCCCAAAGUGCUGGGAUUACAGGCAUGAGCCAGCACACCCGGCCAAAAAAUGACAUCUUGAUAUGGUUCCAUUAGAGGCUUGUGACUUGGCAAGAAGGAUCAGUAAACUCCUGGAGGUGUAGCUUGGACCCUUGGGUCCCUUCACCUAAACUUGGGAGGAUGGGCCUUGAGCCAAGCAUUCUUAGGAGAUAGUUAUCUGCAAGUGGCCCCUGCAGAAGUCUUAGCUGACCUUAAAGGGCAGGCCCUUUCUGUCAGAUGUGGCCCCCAGUCCCAGCAAGUAAAGGGUUCUCCCAUCAUCAGACCUGUUAGAAAUGGAAAUAGUGAGAGAUGUUAGACAUAGCUUCUGGUGACCAGAUCUCACUCUACAUUGUAUUGAUGUUUUUGUUUGUCUUCAGAGGAAUACCCACACACCGAAGUUGGGUGAGGAAGAUUCGUUUUGCUCCUGGUAAAGGAAAUCAAAAAUUAAUAGCAAUGUACAAUGAUGGAGCUGAAGUGUGGGAUACUAAAGAGAGCCUGUGUGGUGCCCCUAUCUCCUUGUUCCAAGGGCCUCUCUUGCCUUGAAAGCCUUCUUAUUACACCAGCCUUGGAAUGGACAGUAUUCUUUGGACAUUUCUCAUGUUGACUAUCCAGAAAAUGAAGAAAUAAAGAAUCUCCUCCAAGAACAGUUGAAUUCAUUGUCUAAUGACAUAAAGAAACUGUUGCUUGAUCCAGAAUUCACUCUCUUGCAGAGGUGCCUGCUUGUUUCAAGGCUCUAUGGUGAUGAAUCGGAGCUGCAUUUCUGGACUGUCGCUGCCCACUACCUGCACAGCUUAUCCCAGGAAAAGUCAGCCAGCACAACAGCUCCUAAAGAAGCUGCUCCUCGAGACAAACUGAGCAACCCACUGGAUAUAUGCUAUGACGUGCUCUGUGAAAAUGCCUACUUUCAGAAAUUUCAGCUAGAAAGGGUUAAUCUACAGGAAGUGAAACGGUCAACUUAUGAUCAUACAAGGAAAUGUACAGACCAGCUACUGCUCUUGGGUCAAACAGAGCUGUGCAGUUGCUGUUGGAAACAAGUGCAGAUAACCAGCAUUAUUACUGUGAUUCACUGAAAGCCUGUUUAGUCACUACUGUCACCUCGUCAGGCCCCUCUCAGAGCACCAUUAAGUUGGUGGCAACGAAUAUGAUUGCCAAUGGCAAAUUGGCAGAGGGCGUUCAGUUGCUCUGCCUGAUAGAUAAGGCUGCAGACGCCUGCCGCUACCUGCAGACAUACGGCGAGUGGAAUCGGGCUGCAUGGCUGGCAAAAGUCCGUUUGAAUCCUGAGGAGUGUGCCGAUGUUUUAAGGCGGUGGGUUGACCACCUUUGUUCUCCACAAGUCAAUCAGAAAUCAAAGGCUCUCCUGGUUCUCCUCUCUCUGGGCUGCUUUUUUAGCGUGGCAGAGACGCUUCACAGCAUGAGAUACUUUGAUAGAGCAGCCUUAUUUGUGGAAGCUUGCCUCAAGUAUGGAGCAUUUGAAGUCACUGAGGACACAGAGAAACUCAUCACUGCUAUAUAUGCAGAUUAUGCCCGGAGUUUGAAGAACCUCGGUUUUAAGCAGGGAGCAGUUCUCUUUGCUUCAAAAGCCGGAGCAGCUGGCAAAGACUUACUGAAUGAGCUUGAGUCCCCCAAGGAAGAACCCAUUGAAGAGUGACAGCUUAAUAAAUGCCAGGGAAUCUGACCUGGAAGGCAGAUGGGAGGGGGCUGGUCUGGCUGUGGCCACUGUCACAGUCCAGGAUGAAGAGGAGUACAGGGUCCUGUGAGCUGUUUGACCACUGUUCUAAGACUAUGUGUGCCCAAAAGCACAUGAGCCUCUAUGUUGAGAGUAAGUCUGUAUCCUGCAUUGGUCUCAGAAAGAAUGUGAAUGCUUAAGAUUUUGAAAGUACAUAAUAUUUUAUACUUUGGGAGAGAGCUUUAAGAGUCCCUGGAAAUACUUUUUAAUUUUUUUAACUUACAAUUCAAGAGACUGAAUCACUUUUCUCAUUGAUUAAAUGUAAAGAUUAUUGAGAAACCUAUAGUAAAUGAAAUUUGUGAGAUGUUUUCUCAAAUAUAUGCUGUGCCUGUACUUAUAUACAGUCUUUCAAGAUACAAACAAGGCAGAAACAUUUAAACUAGUAUUAAAGGUAGUUUACCAAAGCAUUUUUUGUUUUCUUACCUUGAAAACACAGAACCGUUAAUUCCUUGGUUUAAGCAGUCACUAAGUUUUGUAAUUUUAGGCUCAGAGGCCCAUAGGAGGUUUUAAGAUUUAUGUUUAGUCCGAUAGGUGAGGUCUUUGAUAUUUUGAAUUUUAACUCCUUUUAUGAUACAUCACAGUAACCUCAUUUUUGAAGUCUUUGUACUUUAAUGUUCUCUCUGUUCUAAUAGUUGAAGUAUGAGAUGAGAUGUAACUAUUAUAAACUGUUGCUGAAAACAUAAAUGUCUGUAACUUACAAACAUGAUAAAUAAAUU